This 895-nucleotide ribosomal RNA is filed under the name Rhodomonas sp. CCMP768. Its description in RNAcentral is "partial Eukaryotic large subunit ribosomal RNA". It matches the Rfam family "Eukaryotic large subunit ribosomal RNA", at positions 1 to 839 of the family's 3401-position model. The record is from RNAcentral. Lineage: Eukaryota; Cryptophyceae; Pyrenomonadales; Pyrenomonadaceae.
GUCUCAAAUCGGGCAGGAAUACCCGCUGAACUUAAGCAUAUCACUAAGCGGAGGAAAAGAAACUAACCAGGAUUCCCCUAGUAACGGCGAGUGAACCGGGAAGAGCUCAAGCUGAAAAUCUUCGGAAUUGUAGUCUAUAGGUGCAGACUCGUGCAACUUCGGGUGUAAAUCCGUUCAUGGAACUGGGUGCCAGAGAGGGUUAGAGCCCCGUCUUCGACCCUGAAUGUUGUGCGUGGCGAGCAGGCACCAGCGAGUCGGCUUGCUUGGGAAUGCAGGUCAAAAUGGGUGGUAAACUUCAUCUAAAGCUAAAUAUUGGCGAGAGACCGAUAGCGAACAAGUACUGUGAAGGAAAGAUGGAAAGAACUUUGAAAAGAGAGUGAAAAAGGGCUUGAAAUUGUUAAGAGGAGAAGUGAUUGGAGCAUAUCAUACUAUCAAAGACAAAUGGCAGGGAUUUAUCCUCGCAAUGAAGCCUUUGGUAGUUGGUCAGCAUCAGUUUGAGGUUGGGGAGACUACAUUUACCAUGAAACCUAGUGAUUGAUAAGUGGGAAACCCAGCCUGAGACUGAGGCACAAAGAACGCGCACAGCGCCCGGCCUAAAUCCUUCUAUAUUGUAGUCCAACACUCUUCGGAGUGUUGUCUGCACUGUGGUUGAUAUUUGGGUUGCAGGAUCUGCGUUCUGAAGAUGCUGGCACAAUGGCUUCAAUCAGCCCGUCUUGGAACACGGACCAAGGAGUCUAACACGUAUGCAAGUAGUAAGGUGGCAAACCUUGGAUGCGCAAUGAAAGUAAACGUAGGUGGGAUUCGUAAGAUGCACCAUCGACCGACCAGGAUCAUCAGUGAAAGGUUUGAGUAAGAGCAUAUUUGUUGGGACCCGAAAGAUGGUGAACUAUGCCUG